This 175-nucleotide microRNA precursor is filed under the name Cajanus cajan (pigeon pea). RNAcentral's name for it is "miRNA gene-KK1_050657". Lineage: Eukaryota; Viridiplantae; Streptophyta; Magnoliopsida; Fabales; Fabaceae. The record is from RNAcentral.
UGCAUAGAUCAAAUCUGCAAAGUUUAAGAAAAUUUAAAAAUCAUUUGAUACUUCGUUUCAUUAAUUCGAAUCAAUGUAUAAAAUGAUUUUAUGAUUAUCCGUCAAUUUGAAUUAAUAAAAUGAAAUAUCAAAUGAUUUUCAAAUUUUCUUAAAAUUUGCAGAGUUGGAUCAUUAA